AUCAGCAUUCUAUUUGUCACGUCUUUUGUUCAAAUAUUGUUUAGGUUUUAGUUAUGCUAUUACUUAUUCAAUAUUAUUUAAUUCUUUCAAAUACUUAUUGGCGUAUACCCAAGAAUGCUAUACUAAUUAUUAUACUUCAAGAUUAUAUACUUCUUCCUUUAAUUAGGAAGUAGAAAGAAUUGCUUUCUAGUAAUCUCUUUCUUGUUAUCUUGAAACACAUUU
This 222-nucleotide small nuclear RNA is filed under the name Cryptosporidium parvum. Lineage: Eukaryota; Apicomplexa; Conoidasida; Eucoccidiorida; Cryptosporidiidae. The record is from RNAcentral.